GGAGGAGGCCCGCCGUCCGCCAGAGGAGCUGCAGGAGCGCCGGAGCGAGCGCGGGCUCGCAGAGAGGGGCCCGGCGGAAAAGCAGCAGGGCAGCCGCGAGAUGGAAAAAUCAAUUAUUCUCCUGCUCUGGAUGCACUAUGCUGUUAAGAUCUCAAAAAGUUUCCAUUAUAUACCUACGAAUAAACAAACAACAGUAAUUUUUAUUGAAUGGGAUGAAUUUCCUCAGGGAGGAAGUCCUGAAUUUUAUUUUGUAAAAUACCAACUUGUUAAUAACUUUGCUCAAAAAAAUGUCAAAAGGAUUCUUGCAGACCCACCAGAGCUUCCAAAAGCAUUAAUGACACUAGACGAAAAUGAAGACUACCACAUCAGUAUACAGUCCAUCAAAUAUGGACAAGUGUUAAGUGAAAAGUCAUUUCAGACGCGUGGAAUAUCAGCUAGAAAUAUUAAGACACUAGCAACAAGUACAAGCGUUUCUUUUAACUGGAGUGUGCUGUCUUCCAAUGACAGUUUAGUGUCAAUAUCACUUAAUAAUUCUUCACAAAUUGUGCAAAAUAAUGUCAUGUUUUAUGAGUGGGCUGAUUUGAAACCUGCCACCUUAUAUGUUUUUACAUUUGAAUUUAAACAGUUGCAUUUGGAUUUUAUAAAUAUAUUUCAGAGACUGGAUGUUCAGAUUGAAACAGGUUCGUGUUCACAAGGAUGGGUGGCAUUAAAAAAUAACUGUUAUAGAAUUAGCAAAGAGCAUAAGCCAUGGAAUGUAGCCCAGCAACAUUGUAAGUUAUCCUUAAAUUCUGCACACCUUGUGGAUAUAAAAAAUGAAGAGGAGAAAAAUUUCAUAUGUUCACAUCUCAGGUCAAAGAAUCAAAUAAUGGUAUGGACUGGUCUUAGCAAUUUGAAGGAAGAAGGUCAACUGACGUUGACAGAUGGAUCAUCUUUUGGCCUUAAGAAAAACGGCAUCUUUUCUUUUCCACUGCUACCGAAGAAUGAAACAGAUUGCUACAUUUUACAGCAAAAUGCAACUGGAUCCAACUAUUUUUUUACAAGAUUUUUCUGUUAUAUUCCCUUGCCAUAUAUUUGUGAAUAUGAAUGUAAUUAUUUUAUUAGUAUUCUCGUACACAUGCAUCUUUAUUAUUUUAAAGAUAGAAUUAUCAUUUCUAAUGAAAUCCGUCUCUUUUAUAUUUUUUCAGUACCUUUUCUCCAGGAAAACAUUUCCUUCUAUGUAAAGGAGGUUGGAACAACUCAAGUUGUAUUUAGUUGGAAUAAUUUGAGUGGUUGGAAUAAGUUGAAUAAGUGGCUGAACCUGGGAUAUAAAAUCAUCAUUAAAUAUUAUUUAGAUUAUACAGAAGGACAACAUUUUGAAAGCAUCCCCCCAAAUACCACAGAAAAAGCAAUUACCCAUCUGUCUCCCGGCCAUGUUUACAGAUUUUCAUUGUUUGCAAUAAAUGAAUGGGAGGCAAAAACUACUUUAAGUCCAAUAUUCAUUGUCGAAACACGCCCAUUAUCAGCCAAAAAUGUCACAAUUACGCAUGUGACCCCAACAGAAAUAUUUUUGCACUGGGAGGCUCCAGAUCCAGUGUCUUUUCACCAUUAUUUGGUGACUAUUUUGGAUGUUGAAAACAAUGAAACGGAGGAGGUGUUUAUUGAAAAGCUCAACACUUCAACAACAAUUGGAAAUCUCACAUCUUUCCAUCAUUAUCUGAUACAUCUAUUCACGGUAGCAGAAAGGGGAACUUUAAGCGGCUUCAAGAAACCUAUUUCAGUGGUUACAGGUAAGUAUGGGCACUUUUUUUGCCUUUUGAUAAAAAACACAAACUGCAUAUUUUGCGGUACUAUUUCACUGAACCUUAAUUAUGUUGCUCCUUCGUCGGUACAAAUCAUCACAGCUGAACAUUUGUUUGGGUGUUGA
RNAcentral lists this long non-coding RNA (1903 nucleotides) under Sus scrofa (pig). Its description in RNAcentral is "lncRNA (ENSSSCG00060004249.1)". Lineage: Eukaryota; Metazoa; Chordata; Mammalia; Artiodactyla; Suidae. The record is from RNAcentral.